CAGUAGCGUAUAUUAAAGUUGUUGCAGUUAAAAUGCUCGUAGUUGAAGUUCGGAUGCAGCAGAGCUUGGAAACGCUGUUAUGGUGCUUCCGUUGCUUUUGCUUGUCCACAGUGCGUUGCAAGUACGUAUGUGCUUGUGCGUGCAUUUUACUUUGAGAAACAUAGGGUGUUCCACGCAUGUUACGGCAUGAAUAUUCCAGCAUGGGAUAAUCUGGUACGACUUCCAAUCUGCCAUUUUGGUUCGUAGGUUGGAAGUAAUGAUUAAUAGGGACUGUCGGGGGCAUUGGUAUUUGACUGUCAGAGGUGAAAUUCUUAGAUUCGUUGAGGACCAACCACUGCGAAAACAUUUGUCAAGGAUGUCUCCAUUAA
This 368-nucleotide ribosomal RNA is filed under the name uncultured eukaryote. RNAcentral describes it as "partial 18S ribosomal RNA". It matches the Rfam family "Eukaryotic small subunit ribosomal RNA", at positions 592 to 976 of the family's 1831-position model. The record is from RNAcentral.